AUGACGACAAUGGUGAUGAGUAUGAUGAUGAUGGUGGAGAUGAUGAUGAUGUUGGGAUGGAGGGCAUGAAGAUGCUGGGGGAUGAAGAUGAUGGGGGAUGGCAGCAGGAAGAAAGAAGAAACCUGUACUGAACACCUACCUUGUUACAGGUUAGGCUCUGCUCUAGAAGUUUUCCGGGCACUAUCGUACUGAAUCCUCAUUUUCACCAUAUUGUUUGCCCAUUUCACAGAUGAGGAACCAGAGACUCAGAAACAUUUAGUGACUUACCCAAGAUCAUACAUUCAUACAUCACACUUCCAGGUCUGUCCAACUGUGGGACAUUAGCUCUCAACCUGAACCAUUCUUAGUGAGUGAGCGGCAGACAAAGCUGUUCCAGAACCCAAGAUGGGGCCUCUACCCAGAAAGAACUUUUUCUGACCCACCAUUCUCUGCAGCUUCCUAAUCCACUCUUGAUUCAUCCACUCAGCCUUGGGGCUGGGGACACUGGAGUGGCUCACAUAGUUCCUUUCCCCCAGGGACCUUUGGACGGUGUCAAGUAAGUUGAGGAGAGUGCCGCAUGAACAAUGAACCACAAAACUAGGUGAUGAGAACCACUCUCAAGGCCAUGGGAGCAUCAAGAGCGACCCUCAUUCCUCCAGAGACAGGCACGGAAAGCUUCGCAGAAGUGACUUUGGGCUGGUUUCAAGGAAGGAAUAGAAGUGUGAGGAUAAAGUGAGUGUCCGAGAGCACUGCCUGAGGGAAAGCAUGAGGGAGGAGAAGAAAAUUUGUCCAGAGAAGGAGGUGGCCAGAGUAGAGGGACUCUGGAGAGGUAGGAAGGGGUUGGCUUAUGAAAGGGAAAGGGCCCUGAAGGCCAACCGAGGCAAUCUGGACUUUUCCCAGAGGCAGUGGAGAGCCACGAAGAUUCCAGAGGGGGAGCAGGAUGGUCAGAUCACAGCAGAUAAGACGGGUCUAGAAGGUGAGUGACGAGGAACCAGCCCAGGACCCCAGUGGGCCCCCAGGAUUCAGAAAUGAAAUCUGCCUUGGAAUUCCAGAAUACACCCUAGGCUUCUCAAACAUCCCCGAGAUUCUGAACUGGAGCCCAGAGUUCCAGAACAAGCCUAGAAUUUCAAAAUCUGUCGUCGAAUUCCAGCAUACUUUCCCCACGGUCCAGAACACACUCUAGCUAGCCAAAGACUACCGCCUCGUUUCCGGCAGUCAGGGCGCGCUCUGCAGGCAGCUCCACCAAACUCUAAAACACACCCCUAGAUAGACAUACGCUUAAAUUCUCAUCUCCCUCUUGUGACGGUUCUUCCCAGAAGCUGGUUUUCUGUCUGAACCCCAGGACUGUGCAGCACUCGUGCUGA
Molecule: long non-coding RNA, 1343 nt
Filed under: Ursus americanus (American black bear)
Lineage: Eukaryota; Metazoa; Chordata; Mammalia; Carnivora; Ursidae
Description: lncRNA (ENSUAMG00000011681.1)
Source: RNAcentral